AACGAACGCUGGCGGCAGGCCUAACACAUGCAAGUCGAGCGAGGACUUCGGUCCUAGCGGCGGACGGGUGAGUAACGCGUGGGAACGUGCCCUUUGCUUCGGAAUAGCCCUGGGAAACUGGGAGUAAUACCGGAUGAGCCCUUUGGGGGAAAGAUUUAUCGGCGAAGGAUCGGCCCGCGUUGGAUUCGGUAGUUGGUGGGGUAAUGGCCUACCAAGCCGACGAUCCAUAGCUGGUUUGAGAGGAUGAUCAGCCACACUGGGACUGAGACACGGCCCAGACUCCUACGGGAGGCAGCAGUGGGGAAUCUUAGACAAUGGGGGAAACCCUGAUCUAGCCAUGCCGCGUGAGCGAUGAAGGCCUUAGGGUUGUAAAGCUCUUUCAGCUGGGAAGAUAAUGACGGUACCAGCAGAAGAAGCCCCGGCUAACUCCGUG
Molecule: ribosomal RNA, 433 nt
Filed under: uncultured bacterium
Lineage: Bacteria
Description: partial 16S ribosomal RNA
Rfam family: Bacterial small subunit ribosomal RNA
Source: RNAcentral